UCAAAGUAUUUUAUUUUUAUUCUUUUAUACAAAUUGUAUGAAUGUGAAAUUUGGUACGUGUUAUCUUCUCAUUGGGGUGCACCUAUAAAAAAUAUUAAGAAUAAUUUUUUGAUAAAACAUAAUGACCAAAAUACCCCUUGAAUUUUUUAGGGGUAUUUUGGAUAUGUUAUUUUAUUGGAAGUAUUUUUUUUUUAUAGUUUUCGCUAGUGUGAGUUUUAUAGAGGAAUGGACAUCCAAAAUUUGGUGUCAAAAUAAUUUAUAGAAAAAAAUUAAAAAUAAAAUAGUGUAGAGAUGUGACAUUAUGAUUGGGAUAAUCUUCGCCUUCCAUUCAGAACGGACGGUUAGAUAAAGGGGAGGAUAGAACUUCUAUGAUAUAAGUGAAGUAUAGAAAGCUUGCCCAACCUCUAAACAAACAUUGCUAGGUUGUAAGGGAAGCAUAGAAAGCUUGCCCAACUUCUAAA
Molecule: long non-coding RNA, 461 nt
Filed under: Amborella trichopoda
Lineage: Eukaryota; Viridiplantae; Streptophyta; Magnoliopsida; Amborellales; Amborellaceae
Description: long non-coding RNA (ATRI_LNC002006)
Source: RNAcentral